Molecule: long non-coding RNA, 1486 nt
Organism: Piliocolobus tephrosceles (Ugandan red Colobus)
Lineage: Eukaryota; Metazoa; Chordata; Mammalia; Primates; Cercopithecidae
Exons: 4
Source: RefSeq, a predicted model, not a curated record
GUUAGCCAGGCUGGUCUCAAACUCCUGACCUCAAGUGAUCCAUCAGCCUCGGCCUCCCAAAGUGCUGGCAUUACAAGCAUGAGCCACUGCACCUGGUCCACUGACCUUAUCUUGAUACUGCCUAUCUCCAAAGUACUUAAUUUUUUAAAAAUCCAAAAUAUAUAUAUUUAUGGUUUACAUCACUAUUAGUCAAAUUGUUUUGUGACUAGCAACUGAAAGCCUUAAUGAUACAUUGAACUUGAUGGAGCACAGCAGGCUCUGCCUAAGUUAAUGCAAAUACUGGAAAGGUACUAUCAAAUACAAAUACUGGAAAAUCACAUUCGUGAUGGUUUUGGAUUAUUUAUCCCUUACCUGUAAAAUCAAGUUUCAGGCUAAAGGAGAAAAAUCUCAGUAUUUUUUCCAGUAUCUAAAAAUGCUCCUAAUGGAGUAUCUUUACCCUUGAAGACUAUGCCAUUUCAUGAAGAGGUGAUCUUCCCGUGUCUGAGUUACCCAAGAGGAGGCUGAAUGUCAUGGAUGCUGCGAAAGGAUGGCUGUGCUGGCUGGGACGUUGGAUAAGAUUGAGCACAGAGUCAUAACAAGAAGAUCACAACAUUUAUAUCCGCCAUGAGGAGGCAAACUGACCUGUUGCUUUUUCUCUCUAUGGUUGAGUGAAUAUUGACUGAAGCCCUUGUACCCAUUGGCCCAUGAACACAAAGAAGUUUUAUCUAAGAGCCAUGCUUCACAGCAGGAACUGUUUCUCGCAGCUUUUGUGAACCAAGAAAGGCAAUAUUCUUCUGCGACUGUCUUGCUAACCUUCCUUGCACACUCUGUUCUGGAGAACCUUGGCUGUUGAACGUAUAAAGGAAGAAGAAUGCAGUUCUUGCCUUGGGGAGCUUACAUCUUACCUAGCAUACCAGAUAAACACAAUGAAGGACCACACAAUGGUAAACAAGAUGUUUCAUGUCAUGGUGGACUAGAAGAGAGGCCCUAUACAGAAUUUUGCUAAAAACGUAAAAUUUAAAACAUAUAUCAGUCUGCUACCUUUGAUUUGUAGUAAGAUACUUCUUAUGUUGAAUUGAGUUUAAGCACACUCCAAACUUUUCAGUAGAUAUGUUCUCUUCUCUUGGAAUCAUACAGAUUUAAUAUUAAGAACAAUUUUUGUUUACUUCAAUGUUUCUCUUUUUCUUCUAUCCUGAAAAACCUGACCACUUAAAACUGUCCUUCUAAUCACUGGCAGAGGAAAUUUUACUUUUUGAUGGGACACUUUUGACUUAAGUCUUGACUCUGAGGGAAGGAUGGCCUAAGAGGCAGGUGUUUCAUAAGUACAUUCUAGAAGUUCAUUUACUUCUGGCAUGCAGGAUGACAUAGCAAAAUGUUUAUGGAUCACAAACAUAAGCACAGUGAUUCUGUAAAUAAUCCAACAACCUAACUUGUCUUGGCCAGAAAUCUAGAUACUGACAUCAGGGAAAAUAUCCUUUUAGUUUGAUGUAUGCAUCUUUCUUCAGGG